GUCUACGGCCAUACCACCCUGAACGCGCCCAAUCUCGUCUGAUCUCGUAAGCUAAGAAGGGUCGGGCCUGGUUAGUACUUGGAUGGGAAAGGAGCAAAUUUUACUUUAUUUC
RNAcentral lists this ribosomal RNA (112 nucleotides) under Cricetulus griseus (Chinese hamster). Lineage: Eukaryota; Metazoa; Chordata; Mammalia; Rodentia; Cricetidae. The record is from RNAcentral.